UACGUAGGGUGCAAGCGUUAAUCGGAAUUACUGGGCGUAAAGCGUACGCAGGCGGUGAUGUAAGACAGUUGUGAAAUCCCCGGGCUCAACCUGGGAACUGCAUCUGUGACUGCAUUGCUGGAGUGCGGCAGAGGGGGAUGGAAUUCCGCGUGUAGCAGUGAAAUGCGUAGAUAUGCGGAGGAACACCGAUGGCGAAGGCAAUCCCCUGGGCCUGCACUGACGCUCAUGCACGAAAGCGUGGGGAGCAAACAGG
RNAcentral lists this ribosomal RNA (253 nucleotides) under uncultured bacterium. Its description in RNAcentral is "partial 16S ribosomal RNA". It matches the Rfam family "Bacterial small subunit ribosomal RNA", at positions 524 to 776 of the family's 1533-position model. The record is from RNAcentral.